AGCGUCUGUAGGCGGUUUGGAAAGUCUUUUGUGAAAUUCUUCGGCUCAACCGGGGGUCCGCAAAAGAAACUUCCAUGCUUGAGGGAAGUAGAGGUACAGGGAAUUUCCGGUGGAGCGGUGAAAUGCGUAGAUAUCGGAAGGAACACCAAUAUGGCGAAGGCACUGUACUGGGCUUUACCUGACGCUAAGAGACGAAAGCUAAAGGAGUGAUUAGGAUUAGAUACCCCUGU
This 230-nucleotide ribosomal RNA is filed under the name uncultured bacterium. RNAcentral describes it as "partial 16S ribosomal RNA". It matches the Rfam family "Bacterial small subunit ribosomal RNA", at positions 564 to 791 of the family's 1533-position model. The record is from RNAcentral.